GGGCUUGUAGCUCAGCUGGUAGAGCACUCCCCUUGCACGGGAGAGGUCGGGGGUUCAAUUCCCUCCGAGUCCA
RNAcentral lists this transfer RNA (73 nucleotides) under Candidatus Iainarchaeum sp. Its description in RNAcentral is "tRNA-Ala". It matches the Rfam family "tRNA". Rfam says of the family: Transfer RNA (tRNA) molecules are approximately 80 nucleotides in length. The record is from RNAcentral. Lineage: Archaea; Nanobdellati; Candidatus Iainarchaeota; Candidatus Iainarchaeia; Candidatus Iainarchaeales; Candidatus Iainarchaeaceae.